This 374-nucleotide ribosomal RNA is filed under the name uncultured organism. RNAcentral's name for it is "bacterial SSU rRNA". It matches the Rfam family "Bacterial small subunit ribosomal RNA", at positions 526 to 896 of the family's 1533-position model. The record is from RNAcentral.
CGUAGGGACCAAGCGUUGUUCGGAUUUACUGGGCGUAAAGGGCGCGUAGGCGGCGUGUUAAGUCAGCUGUGAAAUCUCCGAGCUUAACUCGGAACGGUCAGCUGAUACUGAUGUGCUAGAGUGCAGAAGGGGCAAUCGGAAUUCUUGGUGUAGCGGUGAAAUGCGUAGAUAUCAAGAGGAACACCUGAGGUGAAGACGGGCUGCUGGGCUGACACUGACGCUGAGGCGCGAAAGCUAGGGUAGCAAACGGGAUUAGAUACCCCGGUAGUCCUAGCCCUAAACGAUGAAUACUUGGUGUCUGGAGUAAUUUAAUUCUCCGGGUGCCGUCGCUAACGUUUUAAGUAUUCCGCCUGGGGAGUACGCACGCAAGUGUG